Molecule: long non-coding RNA, 5875 nt
Filed under: Triticum aestivum (bread wheat)
Lineage: Eukaryota; Viridiplantae; Streptophyta; Magnoliopsida; Poales; Poaceae
Description: long non-coding RNA (TAES_LNC019905)
Source: RNAcentral
UGAUUUGAAAUACUUGCACACAAACCGCGAGAAAGCGUUCCUGGAAAUCUCAGCCCAAAAAAGGAUGUUUAGUAAUUCUAAAAGGGACUACAGGAUGAAAAACAAUAGUUUUGGCAGUUAAAGUUUGAGAUUUGACGGUGUCGUAGAUCCGUUUGGUCAUCAGGUGUUACGAGCCACACCCAUGUCUAGCUAGAAUAGUGUGUUAGGCUCAGGCUAGAGAAGAAACGGGGAACAAACUGAUGAAAGAAUGAUCAAACCGAGGGGAUUCACUCAGAACUAACAAGAAUGAUAACGUGCUCCGACUAGAGCGGUUUAGGAACUUCUGGAAGGCUCUAGGGGAAUAAAGAUGGAAUGACUUCUAAUUUUUAGGUCCGUAUGAUUUGAAAUACUUUCACACAAACCGCGCGAAAGCGUUCCUGGAAAUCUCAGCCCCAAAAAGGACGUUUAGUAAUUCUAGAAGGGACUAUAGGAUGAAAAACAAUAGUUUUGGUAGUUAAAGUUUGAGAUUCGAUGGUGCCGUGGAUCCGUUUGGUCAUCAGGUGUUACGAGCCACACCCAUGUCUAGCUAGAAUAGUAUGUUAGGCUCAGGUUAGAGAAGAAACGGGGAACAAACUGAUGAAAAAAUGAUCAUACCAAGGGAAUUCACUCAGAACUAACAAGAAUGAUAACGUGCUCCGACUGGAGCGGUUUAGGAACUGCUGGAAGGCUCUAGGGGAAUAAAGAUGGAAUGACUUCUAAUUUUUACGUCCGUAUGAUUUGAAAUACUUGCACACAAACCACGCAAAAGCGUUCCUGGAAAUCUCAGCCUAAAAAAGGACGUUUAGUAAUUCUAAAAGGGACUACAGGAUGAAAAAUAAUAGUUUGGGCAGUUAAAAUUUGAGAUUCAACGGUGCCGUAGAUCCGUUUGGUCAUGAGGUGUUACGAGCCACACCCAUGUCUAGCUAGAAUAGUGUGUUAGGCUCAGGCUAGAGAAGAAACGGGGAACAAAUUGAUGAAAGAAUGAUCAUACCGAGGGAAUUCACUCAGAACUAACAAGAAUGAUAACGUGCUCCGACUGGAGCAGUUUGGAAACUGUUGGUAGGCUCUAGGGGAAUAAAGAUGGAAUCACUUCAAAUUUUUAGGUCCGUAUGAUUUGAAAUACUGGCACACAAACCGCGCGAAAGUGUUCCUGGAAAUCUCAGCCCAAAAAAGGACGUUUAGUAAUUCUAAAAGGGACUACAGGAUGAAAAACAAUACUUUUGGCAGUUAAAGUUUGAGAUUCGACGGUGCCGUAGAUCUGUUUGGUCAUCAGGUGUAACGAGCCACACCCAUGUCUAGCUAGAGUAGUGUGCUAGGCUCAGACUAGAGAAGAAACGGGGAACAAAGUGAUGAAAGAAUGAUCAUACCGAGGGAAUUCACUCAGAACUAACAAGAAUGAUAACGUGCUCCGACUGGAGCGGUUUAGGAACUGCUGGAAGGCUCUAGGGAAAUAAAGAUGGAAUGACUUCUAAUUUUUAGGUCCAUAUCAUUUGAAAUACGUGCACACAAACCCCGAGAAAGCGUUCCUGGAAAUCUCGGCCGAAAAAAGGAUGUUUAAUAAUUCUAAAAGGGACUACAGGAUGAAAAACAAUAGUUUUGGCAGUUAAAGUUUGAGAUUUGACGGUGCCGUAGAUCUGUUUGGUCAUCAGGGGUUACGAGCCACACCCAUGUCUAGCUAGAAUAGUGUGUUAGGCUCAGGCUAGAGAAGAAACGGGGAACAAAUUGAUGAAAGAAUGAUCAUACCGAGGGAAUUCACUCAGAACUAACAAGAAUGAUAACGUGCUCCGACUGGAGCAGUUUGGAAACUGUUGGUAGGCUCUAGGGGAAUAAAGAUGGAAUCACUUCUAAUUUUUAGGUCCGUAUGAUUUGAAAUACAUGCACACAAACCCCAAGAAAGCGUUCCUGGAAAUCUCGCCCCGAAAAACGACGUUUAGUAAUUCUAAAAGGGACUACAGGAUGAAAAACAAUACUUUUGGCAGUUAAAGUUUGAGAUUCGACGGUGCCGUAGAUCUGUUUGGUCAUCAGGUGUAACGAGCCACACCCAUGUCUAGCUAGAGUAGUGUGCUAGGCUCAGACUAGAGAAGAAACGGGGAACAAAGUGAUGAAAGAAUGAUCAUACCGAGGGAAUUCACUCAGAACUAACAAGAAUGAUAACAUGCUCCGACUGGAGCGGUUUAGGAAGUGCUGGAAGGCUCUAGGGAAAUAAAGAUGGAAUGACUUCUAAUUUUUAGGUCCAUAUCAUUUGAAAUACGUGCACACAAACCCCGAGAAAGCGUUCCUGGAAAUCUCGGCCGAAAAAAGGAUGUUUAAUAAUUCUAAAAGGGACUACAGGAUGAAAAACAAUAGUUUUGGCAGUUAAAGUUUGUGAUUCGAUGGUGCCGUAGAUCUGUUUGGUCAUCAGGUGUUACGAGCCACACCCAUGUCUAGCUAGAACAGUGUGUUAGGCUCAGGCUAGAGCAGAAACGGGGAACAAACUUAUGAAAGAAUGAUCAUACCGAGGGAAUUCACUCAGAACUAACAAGAAUGAUAACGUGCUCCAACUGGAGCGGUUUAGGAACUGCUGGAAGGCUCUAGGGGAAUAAAGAUGGAAUGACUUCAAAUUUUUAGGUCCGUAUGAUUUGAAAUACUUGCACACAAACCGCUAGAAAGCGUUCCUGGAAAUCUCAGCCCAAAAAAGGACGUUUAGUAAUUCUAAAAGGGACUACAGGAUGAAAAACAAUAGUUCUGGCAGUUAAAGUUUGAGCUUCGAUAAUGUCGUAGAUCCGUUUGGUCAUCAGGUGUAACGAGCCACACCCAUUUCUAGCUAGAGUAGUGUGCUAGGCUCAGACUAGAGAAGAAAUGGGCAACAAACUAAUGAAAGAAUGAUCAUACCGAGGGAAUUCACUCAGAACUAACAAGAAUGAUAACGUGCUCCGACUGGAGCGGUUUAGGAACUGCUGGAAGGCUCUAGGGGAAUAAAGAAGGAAUGACUUCUAAUUUUUAGGUCCGUAUGAUUUGAAAUGUGUGCACACAAACCCCGAGAAAGCAUUCCUGGAAAUCUCGGCCCAAAAAAGGACGUUUAGUAAUUCUAAAAGGGACUACAGGAUGAAAAACAAUAGUUUUGGCAGUUAAAGUUUGAGAUUCGAUAAUGCCGUAGAUCCGUUUGGUCAUCAGGUGUAACGAGCCACACCCAUGUCUGGUUAGAGUAGUGUGCUAGGCUCAGACUAGAUAAGAAACGGGGAACAAACUGAUGAAAGAAUGAUCAUACCGAGCGAAUUCACUCAGAACUAACAAGAAUGAUAACAUGCUCCGACUGGAGCGGUUUAGGAACUGCUGGAAGGCUCUAGGGGAAUAAAGAUGGAAUGACUUCUAAUUUUUAGGUCCGUAUGAUUUGAAAUACUUGCACACAAACCACGCGAAAGCGUUCCUGGAAAUCUCAGCCCAAAAAAGGACGUUUAGUAAUUCUAAAAGGGACUACAGGAUGAAAAACAAUAGUUUUGGCAGUUAAAGUUUGAGAUUCGACAGUGCCGUAGAUCCGUUUGGUCAUCAGGUAUUACGAGCCACACCCAUGUCUAGCUAGAAUAGUGUGCUAGGCUCAGGCUAGAGAAGAAACGGGGAACAAACUGAUGAAAGAAUGAUCAAACCGAGGGAAUUCACUCAGAACUAACAAUAAUGAUAACGUGCUCCGACUGGUGCGGUUUAGGAACUGCUGGAAGGCUCUAGGGGAAUAAAGAUGGAAUGACUUCUAAUUUUUAGGUCCGUAUGAUUUGAAAUACUUGCACACAAACCGCGCGAAAGCGUUCCUGGAAAUCUCAGCCCAAAAAAGGACGUUUAGUAAUUUUAAAAGGGACUAUAGGAUGAAAAACAAUAGUUUUGGCAAUUAAAGUUUGAGAUUCGACGGUGUCGUAGAUCCGUUUGGUCAUCAGGUGUUACGAGCCACACCCAUGUCUAGCUAGAAUAGUAUGUCAGGCUCAGGUUAGAGUAGAAACGGGGAACAAACUGAUGAAAGAAUGAUCAUACCAAGGGAAUUCACUCAGAACUAUCAAGAAUGAUAACGUGCUCCGACUGGAGUGAUUUAGGAACUGCUGGAAGGCUCUAGGGGAAUAAAGAUGGAAUGACUUCUAAUUUUUACGUCCGUAUGAUUUGAAAUACUUGCACACAAAUCACGCAAAAGCGUUCCUGGAAAUCUCAGCCUAAAAAAGGACGUUUAGUAAUUCUAAAAGGGACUACAGGAUGAAAAACAAUAGUUUGGGCAGUUAAAAUUUGAGAUUCGACGGUGCCGUAGAUCCGUUUGGUCAUCAGGUGUUACGAGCGACACCCUUGUCUAGCUAGAAUAGUGUGUUAGGCUCAGACUAGAGAAGAAACGGGGAACAAAGUGAUGAAAGAAUGAUCAUACCGAGGGAAUUCACUCAGAACUAACAAGAAUGAUAACGUGCUCCGACUGGAGCGGUUUAGUAACUGCUGGAAGGCUCUAGGGGAAUGAAGAUGGAAUGACUUCUAAUUUUUAGGUCCGUAUGAUUUGAAAUACAUGCACACAAACCCUGAGAAAGCGUUCCUGGAAAUCUCGGUCGAAAAAAGGAUGUUUAAUAAUUCUAAAAGGGACUACCGGAUGAAAAACAAUAGUUUUGGCAGUUAAAGUUUGUGAUUCGAUGGUGCCGUAGAUCUGUUUGGUCAUCAGGUGUUACGAGCCACACCCAUGUCUAUCUAGAAUAGUGUGUUAGGCUCAGGCUAGAGCAGAAACGGGGAACAGACUUAUGAAAGAAUGAUCAUACCGAGGGAAUUCACUCAGAACUAACAAGAAUGAUAACGUGCUCCGACUGGCGCGGUUUAGGAACUGCUGGAAGGCUCUAGGGGAAUAAAGAUGGAAAGACUUCUAAUUUUUAGGUCCGUAUGAUUUGAAAUACUUGCACACAAACCGCACGAAAGCGUUCCUGGAAAUCUCAGCCUAAAAAGGAUGUUUAGUAAUUCUAAAAGGGACUACAAGAUGAAAAAUAAUAGUUUGGGCAGUUAAAAUUUGAGAUUCGACGAUGCCGUAGAUCCGUUUGGUCAUCAGGUGUUAUGAGCCACACCCAUGUCUAGCUAGAAUAGUGUGUUAGGCUCAGGCUAGAGAAGAAACGGGGAACAAACUGAUGAAAGAAUGAUCAUACCGAGGGAAUUCACUCAGAACUAACAAGAAUGAUAACGUGCUCCGACUGGAGCAGUUUAGAAACUGCUGGAAGGCUCUAAUGGAAUAAAGAUGGAAUGCCUUCAAAUUUCUAGGUCCGUAUGAUUUGAAAUACUUGCACACAAACCGCUCGAAAGCGUUCCUGGAAAUCUCAGCCCAAAAAAGGACGUUUAGUAAUUCUAAAAGGGACUACAGGAUGAAAAACAAUAGUUUUGGCAGUUAAAGUUUGAGAUUCGAUGGUGCCGUAGAUCCGUUUGGUCAUCAGGUGUAACGAGCCACACACAUGUCUAGCUAGAGUAGUGUGCUAGGCUCAGACUAGAGAAGAAACGGGGAACAAAGUGAUGAAAGAAUGAUCAUACCGAGGGAAUUCACUCAGAACUUACAAGAAUGAUAACGUGCUCCGACUGGAGCGCUUUAGUAACUGCUGGAAGGCUCUAGGCGAAUAAAGAUGGAAUGACUUCUAAUUUUUAGGUCCGUAUGAUUUGAAAUACUUGCACACAAACCACGCAAAACCGUUCCUAGAAAUCUCGGUCGAAAAAAGGACGUUUAGUAAUUCUAAAAGGGACUACAGGAUGAAAAACAAUAGUUUUGGCAGUUAAAGUUUGAGAUUCGAUGGUGCCGUAGAUCCGUUUGGUCAUCAGGUGUUACGAGCCACACCCAUGUCUAGCUAGAGUAGUGUGCUAGGUUCAGACUAGAGAAGAAACGGGGAACAAA